RNAcentral lists this transfer RNA (74 nucleotides) under Candidatus Poseidoniales archaeon. RNAcentral describes it as "Marine Group II euryarchaeote (marine metagenome) tRNA-Gly". It matches the Rfam family "tRNA". From Rfam's summary of the family: Transfer RNA (tRNA) molecules are approximately 80 nucleotides in length. Their secondary structure includes four short double-helical elements and three loops (D, anti-codon, and T loops). The record is from RNAcentral. Lineage: Archaea; Methanobacteriati; Thermoplasmatota; Candidatus Poseidoniia; Candidatus Poseidoniales.
GCGCCUGUAGUGAAGUCUGGUUAUCACCUGAGGUUUCCAACCUCAUGUCGUGGGUUCGACUCCCGCUAUCCGCA